GUGAUUGAUUAUGCUUUGGAUGAUGGGACUAUGUUCCGAACAGAGUUUGCUCAUGCCAUGGCUAAGUUGUCAGAUUUUGGUGUUCUUACUGGAUCCCAAGGAGAGGUUCGGCGUAGCUGCUCCCAUCUGAAUUCUAACUAGUAAGAGCUACUGCAUUCAUGUACAAUAUGGUAUAGACUAGUUAUACUUCAAAGGAAUUUGACUUGUUGGCUUAACAAAUAGUACUAAAUUUCUUCUGACCAUCACCAUGAAAAAACAAGUGCUAAAUUGCCAAAGCAUUUACGGUCUUAUCCCAUGUCAACAUCUUCUUUUACUGCUUCGUAUUUCAAAUACACNAAUUGAAGAAAAAGUAUAAUUGAAGGAAAAGUAUGAAACUUUGAUUUGGUUAGAAUGAUACAGAAUGUUAAUAAAUAUGUUGGAUCCAUUCUUUAAUAACUUGUUAUGAUAGCCCUUAUUUCAACAAUAAUUAGACCUGGAGUUGAUGUCAUGUCAGUAUUUGUCGUAAAUUCAUGUUGCUGAGUAAUCAUCAUAGACGAAAUAUUUUGUAAAAUAUCAUACUAUAAACAUCAUAAUCAAGAUUUGCGUUAUUGUAUCGGAUGCAUCACCUAAUGCUAUGUAAUUUCUACUAUACCGAAAACAAUUAUUCAACAAAGAACUUUAAAACAUACCUAUAACUUGUUAACAAUGAUGGAUCAAUAUACAAUAAUCAUAGAUUGAAAUCAGAUCUGAAUGGGGUGGCAGAUUCAUAUAUAGAUAAUCAUCUAUCUAGAAUUUGCCACGCCAAUCAGAUAUAGCUUCAAUGUAUGAAAGUUUCUUCAUCUUUCUCCAAGAUUUAAUUGUUCAAGGGCUAGGCUAUAUGGCUAUUUAUAACAAAGGCAGCGCCUACUUUUUCUUUUCUUUUUCGGAAACUAAUAAGUUGUGCGUAACUCUUACGUUGAAAUUUCUAACUAUUUUCCUCUUUCUCUAGGGUUAGUUUUCCUUCCAAAAAUGUCUAUUUAGCAGCGGCACAGCCUAGCCC
Molecule: long non-coding RNA, 1018 nt
Filed under: Nicotiana tabacum (common tobacco)
Lineage: Eukaryota; Viridiplantae; Streptophyta; Magnoliopsida; Solanales; Solanaceae
Description: long non-coding RNA (NTAB_LNC009293)
Source: RNAcentral